Molecule: ribosomal RNA, 301 nt
Filed under: uncultured bacterium
Lineage: Bacteria
Description: partial 16S ribosomal RNA
Rfam family: Bacterial small subunit ribosomal RNA
Source: RNAcentral
CAGUAGCCGCGGUAACACGUAGGGUGCAAGCGUUAAUCGGAAUUACUGGGCGUAAAGCGUGCGCAGGCGGUUUGUUAAGACAGAUGUGAAAUCCCCGGGCUCAACCUGGGAACUGCAUUUGUGACUGGCAGGCUAGAGUAUGGCAGAGGGGGGUGGAAUUCCGCGUGUAGCAGUGAAAUGCGUAGAUAUGCGGAGGAACACCGAUGGCGAAGGCAGCCCCCUGGGCCAAUACUGACGCUCAUGCACGAAAGCGUGGGGAGCAAACAGGAUUAGAUACCCCAGUAGUCCCUGUCUCUUAUAC